Molecule: ribosomal RNA, 382 nt
Filed under: uncultured Halobacteria archaeon
Lineage: Archaea; Methanobacteriati; Methanobacteriota; Halobacteria
Description: bacterial SSU rRNA
Rfam family: Archaeal small subunit ribosomal RNA
Source: RNAcentral
UAACACGUACUCCAUGAGUGGUAUCCACUUAUAUUGGGCCUAAAACGUCCGUAGCUUGCCCGAAAAGUCCUCGGUGAAAGCAGCAGGCUUAACUUGCUGAAUUGCCAAGGAUACUAUCGGGCUAGAGGCCGGGAGAGGUCAAGGGAAUUUCAGGGGUAGCGGUGAAAUGUUAUGAUCCUUGAAAGACCACCAGUAGCGAAGGCGCUUGACCAGAACGGUCCUGACAGUGAGGGACGAAAGCUGGGGGAGCGACCCGGAUUAGAUACCCGGUUAGUCCCAGCCGUAAACGAUGUGGACUUGGUGUCCUAGCACUUACUAAGGUGCAGGGGUGCCGUAGGGAAGCCGUUAAGUCCACUGCCAGGGAAGUACGCUCGCAAGGGUG